ACUUGUUCUUUAAAUGGGGACUAGUAUGAAUGGCAUCACGAGGGUUACACUGUCUCCUUUUUUAAAUCAGUGAAACUAAUCUCCCCGUGAAGAAGCGGGGAUGAAACUAUAAGACGAGAAGACCCUAUGGAGCUUUAAACCUCCCUUCAAGUGCCAGAUACCUCCUCUCUAAUUACACUAACUCAAGCACUGUGAAGUCAAGUUUUAGGUUGGGGUGACCGCGGGGCACAAAAAAACCCCCACGUUGAACCAGGCCUCUAAACCUUGAGCAACGGGCUACAACCCUAUGCACAAAAAAAUUUACAUCUAUUGACCCACUAAUUUGAUCAACGAACCAAGUUACCCUAGGGAUAACAGCGCAAUCUACUUCAAGAGCCCCUAUCGACAAGUGG
RNAcentral lists this ribosomal RNA (392 nucleotides) under Scinax alter (Crubixa snouted treefrog). Its description in RNAcentral is "partial 16S ribosomal RNA". It matches the Rfam family "Bacterial large subunit ribosomal RNA", at positions 1967 to 2515 of the family's 2925-position model. Lineage: Eukaryota; Metazoa; Chordata; Amphibia; Anura; Hylidae. The record is from RNAcentral.